This 510-nucleotide ribosomal RNA is filed under the name uncultured bacterium. RNAcentral's name for it is "partial 16S ribosomal RNA". The stretch from base 16 to 371 matches the Rfam family "Bacterial small subunit ribosomal RNA", at positions 43 to 396 of the family's 1533-position model. The record is from RNAcentral.
GACGAACGCUGGCGGCGUGCUUAACACAUGCAAGUCGAACGGAAAGGCCCUGCUUUUGUGGGGUGCUCGAGUGGCGAACGGGUGAGUAACACGUGAGUAACCUGCCCUUGACUUUGGGAUAACUUCAGGAAACUGGGGCUAAUACCGGAUAGGAGCUCCUGCUGCAUGGUGGGGGUUGGAAAGUUUCGGCGGUUGGGGAUGGACUCGCGGCUUAUCAGCUUGUUGGUGGGGUAGUGGCUUACCAAGGCUUUGACGGGUAGCCGGCCUGAGAGGGUGACCGGCGGCGAGGGGGGGUGGCAGACGCCCCGUAGGCGUAGGGGAGGAGGGGGGGGGGAAAGUGGCGCGGGGGCGGGAAGCCGCAGGCAGAGACGGCGGUGGGGGGAGGGCGGCCGCGGGUUUGUAGCCGGCUUGGGCCGGUGACGAGGCGGGGGUGAGGGUGAUGGGGAAAACAGAACCGGCAAACAGCGGGCCAGCGGCGGGGGUAAUAAGGGGAAGAGCCGACGUCCGAAC